This 85-nucleotide transfer RNA is filed under the name Phycisphaerae bacterium. RNAcentral describes it as "tRNA-Leu". It matches the Rfam family "tRNA". Rfam says of the family: Transfer RNA (tRNA) molecules are approximately 80 nucleotides in length. The record is from RNAcentral. Lineage: Bacteria; Pseudomonadati; Planctomycetota; Phycisphaerae.
GCCGGAGUGGCGGAAUUGGCAGACGCGACGGACUCAAAAUCCGUUACCCCUUAAAGGUGUGUGGGUUCGACUCCCUCCUCCGGCA